Molecule: ribosomal RNA, 253 nt
Filed under: uncultured bacterium
Lineage: Bacteria
Description: partial 16S ribosomal RNA
Rfam family: Bacterial small subunit ribosomal RNA
Source: RNAcentral
UACGAAGGGGGCUAGCGUUGUUCGGAAUUACUGGGCGUAAAGCGCACGUAGGCGGAUCGAUUAGUCAGGGGUGAAAGCCCAGGGCUCAACCCUGGAAUUGCCUUUAAGACUGCAUCGCUUGAACAUCGGAGAGGUAAGUGGAAUUCCGAGUGUAGAGGUGAAAUUCGUAGAUAUUCGGAAGAACACCAGUGGCGAAGGCGACUUACUGGACGAUUGUUGACGCUGAGGUGCGAAAGCGUGGGGAGCAAACAGG